AGGACUCACUGCACAUUCUCCUGAACC
This 27-nucleotide non-coding RNA is filed under the name Mus musculus (house mouse). Lineage: Eukaryota; Metazoa; Chordata; Mammalia; Rodentia; Muridae. The record is from RNAcentral.